RNAcentral lists this transfer RNA (107 nucleotides) under Ceratocystis platani. It matches the Rfam family "tRNA". From Rfam's summary of the family: Transfer RNA (tRNA) molecules are approximately 80 nucleotides in length. Their secondary structure includes four short double-helical elements and three loops (D, anti-codon, and T loops). Further hydrogen bonds mediate the characteristic L-shaped molecular structure. tRNAs have two regions of fundamental functional importance: the anti-codon, which is responsible for specific mRNA codon recognition, and the 3' end, to which the tRNAs corresponding amino acid is attached (by aminoacyl-tRNA synthetases). tRNAs cope with the degeneracy of the genetic code in two manners: having more than one tRNA (with a specific anti-codon) for a particular amino acid; and 'wobble' base-pairing, i.e. permitting non-standard base-pairing at the 3rd anti-codon position. The record is from Rfam by way of RNAcentral. Lineage: Eukaryota; Fungi; Ascomycota; Sordariomycetes; Microascales; Ceratocystidaceae.
GGCACUAUGGCCGAGUGGUUAAGGCGCUUCCCUGCUAUACGUCAUGAUCCAUCAUGGCAGCAUAGGAAGUCCGUUCGCGGGCGCGUGUUCGAAUCACGUUGGUGUCG